UAACAUAUCGGAACGUAUCCUUAAGUGGGGGACAACCUAGCGAAAGUUAGGCUAAUACCGCAUACGCAGGGAACUGGAAAGUGGGGGAUCGCAAGACCUCACGCUUUAGGAGCGGCCGAUAUCAGAUUAGCUUGUUGGUGAGGUAAAGGCUCACCAAGGCGACGAUCUGUAGCUGGUCUGAGAGGAUGAUCAGCCACACUGGGACUGAGACACGGCCCAG
This 220-nucleotide ribosomal RNA is filed under the name uncultured bacterium. RNAcentral describes it as "partial 16S ribosomal RNA". It matches the Rfam family "Bacterial small subunit ribosomal RNA", at positions 111 to 334 of the family's 1533-position model. The record is from RNAcentral.